UGGGGAAUUUUGGACAAUGGGGGAAACCCUGAUCCAGCCAUCCCGCGUGUGCGAUGAAGGCCUUCGGGUUGUAAAGCACUUUUGGCAGGAAAGAAACGUCAUGGGUUAAUACCCCGUGAAACUGACGGUACCUGCAGAAUAAGCACCGGCUAACUACGUGCCAGCAGCCGCGGUAAUACGUAGGGUGCAAGCGUUAAUCGGAAUUACUGGGCGUAAAGCGUGCGCAGGCGGUUCGGAAAGAAAGAUGUGAAAUCCCAGAGCUCAACGUUGGAACUGCAUUUUUAACUACCGGGCUAGAGUGUGGCAGAGGGAGGUGGAAUUCCGCGUGUAGCAGUGAAAUGCGUAGAUAUGCGGAGGAACACCGAUGGCGAAGGCAGCCUCCUGGGAUAACACUGACGCUCAGGCACGAAAGCGUGGGGAGCAAACAGG
Molecule: ribosomal RNA, 429 nt
Filed under: Acidobacteriota bacterium
Lineage: Bacteria; Pseudomonadati; Acidobacteriota
Description: Acidobacteria bacterium partial 16S ribosomal RNA
Rfam family: Bacterial small subunit ribosomal RNA
Source: RNAcentral